Long non-coding RNA from Suricata suricatta (meerkat), 353 nucleotides. RefSeq lists it as uncharacterized. Lineage: Eukaryota; Metazoa; Chordata; Mammalia; Carnivora; Herpestidae. The transcript is spliced from 2 exons. The record is from RefSeq and is a predicted model, not a curated record.
AUGACCUACUUACCCCAGAAGAACGGAGGCUUUUCUCCUGUAGUAGAGGCCAUCCUAUGCCGGGGAACGGGGGAGCACUCUCGGGGGAGGGGAGAUAGGAGAGAGGAUCCCAAGUAUGCUCCGCCCUCUGAGCACAAGACUGACUUGGGCUGAUCCCAUGAACCCUGAGAUCUCAACCUGAGAGGAAUCCAGAGUCAGACGCCUGACCAAGCGAGCCACCCAGGCGCCCCAACUAUCACCCAUUAAGAAAAUCAUUUUCUUUAACAUUUGAAAUUUUACACCCUCCUCUUCUGUGCCUGAACUUGUAUUUUCAUUCCCCAGCCCACAAAAUAAACGCGAUUGUAACAUGGCUA